GACGUAGGGCGCGAGCGUUGUCCGGAAUUAUUGGGCGUAAAGAGCUCGUAGGCGGUCUGUCGCGUCUGCUGUGAAAACUCAGGGCUUAACCCUGAGCUUGCAGUGGGUACGGGCAGACUAGAGUGCGGUAGGGGAGACUGGAAUUCCUGGUGUAGCGGUGAAAUGCGCAGAUAUCAGGAGGAACACCGGUGGCGAAGGCGGGUCUC
This 206-nucleotide ribosomal RNA is filed under the name uncultured bacterium. Its description in RNAcentral is "partial 16S ribosomal RNA". It matches the Rfam family "Bacterial small subunit ribosomal RNA", at positions 524 to 729 of the family's 1533-position model. The record is from RNAcentral.